AUUGAACGCUGGCGGCAGGCCUAACACAUGCAAGUCGAACGGUAACAGGAAGAAGCUUGCUUCUUUGCUGACGAGUGGCGGACGGGUGAGUAAUGUCUGGGAAACUGCCUGAUGGAGGGGGAUAACUACUGGAAACGGUAGCUAAUACCGCAUAACGUCGCAAGACCAAAGAGGGGGACCUUCGGGCCUCUUGCCAUCGGAUGUGCCCAGAUGGGAUUAGCUAGUAGGUGGGGUAACGGCUCACCUAGGCGACGAUCCCUAGCUGGUCUGAGAGGAUGACCAGCCACACUGGAGCUGAGACACGGUCCAGACUCCUACGGGAGGCAGCAGUGGGGAAUAUUGCACAAUGGGCGCAAGCCUGAUGCAGCCAUGCCGCGUGUAUGAAGAAGGCCUUCGGGUUGUAAAGUACUUUCAGCGGGGAGGAAGGGAGUAAAGUUAAUACCUUUGCUCAUGGACGUUACCCGCAGAAGAAGCACCGGCUAACUCCGU
RNAcentral lists this ribosomal RNA (489 nucleotides) under uncultured bacterium. Its description in RNAcentral is "partial 16S ribosomal RNA". It matches the Rfam family "Bacterial small subunit ribosomal RNA", at positions 30 to 506 of the family's 1533-position model. The record is from RNAcentral.